This 6635-nucleotide long non-coding RNA is filed under the name Triticum aestivum (bread wheat). RNAcentral describes it as "long non-coding RNA (TAES_LNC000689)". Lineage: Eukaryota; Viridiplantae; Streptophyta; Magnoliopsida; Poales; Poaceae. The record is from RNAcentral.
UAUUAUUUACCUAAUGUCCAAAGUUUUACAUGUGAUGCUUUUAUUUUACCAAUGUUAUAACUUGUUUGUUGAAUAAUUUACACACUUACUUCCAUCCCAAUUUUAAUUGAUAGUUCAGUAGAUGUAGUGUGGUUUACAGCGAGUAUAUGUCUGAAAUGAUCAGGCUCUUGCUUUGUUUUAAAUUCUCAACUAGAACACCAUUUAGUCUGCACCUACGACUCUUGUUGAUAAUGUAAUAUGACCUCAUGGUGCAUAUCUUAAUAGGUGUAGAACCUACCUAAUCCUACAAGAGAUGAUAGUCCCGGUACAAGUGUGGUCGAUUGGGCAUCCGGACAACCUCCCAAUCGGUAGGGAUGUUCAUGAUGGUUUGAUAUGAUGCCUUCACCCAUUACCUAUCACUAGCGACAAUUAGCUCCCGCGUUUGCAUAGACCUAGGGAGGGGCUAUCAUUGCUAUUAUGGUGAAAUCAAUACUUCACUCCUGACGUCCUAAGGAAAGGUGUGUACAUUUUUCUCUCUUGGACCACCUUCGUUGCCAUUCUACUAAAGUUUUCUCAUUUUUGAUAAUAACAUUAGAUUCUGCAAUGUCCCUAGUUCGGUCUUAUCUCCCACAACCUUCAACCGUGUCGCAAAACCAACACUUCAUUUUUGCCUUCUAGAGGAGAUGCAUGUUCAUUUGUCUCCCCUGGACCAUAUUCGUGGUGAUUGUAAGAAUUGUUAUCGUUUUUUGAUAAUAACAAAAGAUCCUUCUAUGUCCAUUGUGUGGUUUUAUCUCCUAUGACCUUCCAGAGUGUUUAUUUGACCAAGGUGUGGUCCUUCGACUGCAACCUUGUCUCCUAGUGAUGCUUCAAAGCAUCUCCUAGUCAGAGCAUGGUCCUUCAAGCGGCUUCAUUCACAAGGGACUUCAACCCAAAACUAGGUUAGAGAAAAUUCUUCUGGUUCACUCCCCAACCCGAGAAAGCAUUGAUCGAUUUUGGCAUGGUCUUUCAAGUGGUUUCUUGUUGGAGGGUCUUCAACUUAAAACCCAGGGUACAGGAAGUUUCACGCCUUUGGAAUUGUAUUUGUUAGCUUCAUGCACUAGCCUACGCAACAAGUCCGAACUGAUGGAAAGUACUAGGCAAUCCAUAUAUACACUUCAACACCCCCUCUCAAAUGUGACGCGGGAAGUCAACACGUGAAUAGAGUCAGAGGUAUGGCUCAAGAGGCCUAUAUGUGGACCGAACUCAACCAAAAGUGGGCAACACCAAGUUUUGAAUAAAUCACGAAAGCCAGUACUUGAACUGAAGACCUUUGGCUCUGAUACCAUGUUAAGCUUCAUGCACUAGUGAAGCAGCACAAAGUUUGUGGAGGAGCAACUCCACCUUGCUGCUACAAUGUGUAGAGCACAAGUGUUGAAGGAACAACUUCAACGUGCUGCGCUAGAUAUCGCUCUAGAGGCGAAUGUAGGUUGAUAGGGCAGCAAGAGUUCAAUCCAGAACUCCUAGGGCACAAGAUCUACUCCAAGAUCUUAGAUAAGAACAACAAGUUCUAUUAUAGGUAGGGGUACAUAGUCUGCCUCCAAAGUAGAGGCGAGGACCUCUAUUUAUAGGGCUUUGGGAAGCCUUCACAUACUUCUACUUAUAGCUGGAAUACUCUAGAAAACAUUAUGUAAGUUUCACCAUUCUACUCAUAGCUACUCACAACUAGAAGACUCUAGAAAACAGUAGGUAGGAUAGAAAAGAAAAGGAAAGAAAUACUACACUAGAGUGGAAGCAUCUAGAAGUAGCCAAACAGAUCUGGCAUGUGUUUUCUUUCUUCUCAUCUAGUGUUCCUCAUCAUUCUCCCCUGGUUGUUUGGAACUCGCCCUCGAGUUAUCUUCAUAGAGCGCUUCUUCUGGAUGGUAGAGAGUCAAGUCCGCAACAUUGAAAGUGUUGGAGAUACCCAUGUCACUUGGAAGAUCUAUCACAUAAGCAUUAUCAUUUAUCUUCCUCGUGAUAGAGAAGGGCCCAUACCUUCGCUGCCUAAGUUUCCCUUUAACACCUAAAGGCAGCCUCUCUUUUCGGAGGUAGACCAUCACCUUAUCACCGACUUGGAAUGAUUUUGGCCUCUUUUUGCAAUCAGCAAGUUGUUUAUAUUUCUGGUUUUGUGCUUCCAAAGCGCCGCGAAUCUCUUCAAAUAACUCGGUGUAAUUAUCAGCAAAGGACAAUGCUGAUUUUGAGUUUCCCCUUGAUGGCAGCUUCACCAGGUCCACCACAUGUGUUGGAACUUUAGUGUGGACAAUGGAAAAAGGGCUCCUUCCUGUGGAUCUAUGCUUGGAGUUAUUGUAGGAGAACUCUGCAAGAGAUAAAGCCAAAUCCCAUUGCCCCUUUCUUUCUCCACAAAUGCAACGGAUCAGAUUACCCAAAAACUUGUUCACCACUUCCGUUUGUCCAUCUGUUUGUGGAUGAGCAGUGCUAGAAAAUUUCAAUUCAGUGUUGAAUUGCUUCCACAAAGUGAGCCAAAAUGCAGCAAGAAACUUGCUAUCACGGUCUGAGACAAUGGACCUUGGAACUCCAUGAAGUCUGACCACUUCUCGAAAGAAUAGGUUUGCCACAUGAUGAGCAUCCGUUGUCUUGCGGCAUGGGAUGAAAUGAGCCAUCUUAGAGAAUCUAUCCACGACCACAAAUACAACAUCACUUCCUCGUCUUGUUCUUGGCAAGCCCAAGACGAAGUCCAUAGAAAUGUCCUCCCAUGGAGCAACAGGAACAGGCAAAGGCAUGUAUAACCCUGUGUUCUGGACUUGGCCUUUGCAGGUCUGACAUACGGGGCACCGUUGAACGAACUUUCCAGCAUCUCUCUUUAGUUGUGGCCAAAAGUAGCGAGCUUCCAGGUUAGCGAUAGUCUUGUCCCGUCCAACAUGGCCACUAAGAUCACUUGAAUGGAGCUCUCUAACCAGCUUGUCACGUAGAGAACUUCUUGGAAUGCACAAACGAUCAUUUUUGAAGAGAUAUCCAUCUUGCAUCAAAUAGUCAUCACCUAAUGGUUGGCCCCUUGCGUGCUUUACCCAAACAUGGCCAAAGUCUUCGUCACCCUCAUACAACUCCUUUAUUUGACCCAUGCCCGGAAGUUCAGCUUCAAAAGAAGUCAAGAGGCAUGCACGACGACUCAAAGCAUCGGCCACUCUGUUAGUUAUUCCAGAUUUAUGCACGAUGAGAUAGUUAAACCUCUCAAGAUAUGCUGCCCAUCUUGCUAGCAUGCGGUCAACAUGCUUUUGAUUUCUAAAAUGCUUCAAGGAUUAAUGGUCGCUAUAAACAAUGAACUCUUUAGGCAGCAAAUAGACUUCCCAAGUUUUCAACGCUCUGAAAACGGCGUAUAAUUCUUGCUGAUAGGUACUCCAUUUCUGUCUAGCUUCACUUAACUUCUCACUAAAGAAAGCAAUGGGCUUCCUUUCUUGAGAUAGGACAGCUCCAAUGCCUACUCCACUUGCAUCACACUCCAACUCAAAAGUCUUGUUGAAAUCAGGUAGUACCAAGACAGGAGCUUGUGAUAGCUUUUGUUUAAUCUCAUUGAAGCUAGCUUCAGCUGCUUCUGCCCAUUGGAACUUUCCUUUCUUCAAACACGGUAAUUGGUGCCAUGAUAGUGCUGAAAUUCUUAACAAAUCGCCUAUAGAAAGUUGCAAGGCCAUGAAAGCUUCUUACCUCAGAAAUGGUCUUAGGAGUUGGCCAUUCUCGGAUUGCUUCAACCUUAGAAUCAUCAACACGAAUGCCAUCACAUGUUAUGACGAAUCCUAGGAAAAGAAGUUGUGUUUGCAGGAAAACACAUUUCUUCAAGUUGACGUAGAGCUCAUUUUCCCUUAGUACUUCUAGCACCUUCCGAAUGUGAUCAAAGUGUUCAUCCUCAUCCUUGCUAUAGAUCAAGAUGUCAUCGAAAUAGACCACAACAAAGUGGGAUAAGAAGGGUCUAAGGACUUGAUUCAUUAAGUGCAUAAAGGUACUUGGUGCAUUUGAGAGUCCAAAUGGCAUGACUAGCCAUUCAAACAACCCUUCCUUUGUCUUGAAGGCGGUCUUCCAUUCAUCCCCGGGUCUUAUACGGAUUUGAUGAUAUCCACUUCUUAAAUCUAGCUUUGUGAACACUCUUGCUCCACUAAGCCGAUCCAAAAUAUCAUCCAGACGGGGAAUAGGGAAUCUAUACCUUACGGUGAUCUUGUUAACGGCUCUAUUGUCCGUACACAUGCGCCAAGAUCCAUCUUUCUUUGGCGCGAGUAGGGCUGGUACAGCACAUGGGCUAAUACUUUCUCGAAUGUGCCCCUUUUGCAACAAUUCCUCCACUUUCUCCUUCAAUAUACCAUGCUCCUUUGGGCUCAUUCGAUAGUGUGGAAGAUUAGGAAGACUUGCUCCCGGAAUUAAGUCAAUUCUAUGUUGAAUUCCUCUCAUCGGUGGCAAGCCAUGUGGCUCCCCAAGUAUGUUCUGAAAUUCUGCCAAUAAACCACGUACCUUUGCUGGAAUUUCAACAGUCAGGUGCUCUUCUCCCUUUACAACAAGUGCAGCACACAAAUCUGCCUCCUUCAAGUCUUCCAUAAACUCAUGAGAGGUAUGGGAGAUAGUUAACAUAGUUUUCCCCUCCUCAGAGGUAUUACCUUCGGGUUUGUUUGGUAAGAUAAUGAUCCUUCUCUUGUUCCAAAUGAAAGAGUAAGAAUUUUCCUUGCCCUUGUGUGUAGUAUCCACAUCAAAUCGCCAAGGCCUCCCAAGAAGAACAUGGCUGGCAUCCAUGUCAACCACAUCACACAACACAUUUGAGCGAUAAUGCUUACCCAAAGAAAGUGGCAGGUUGCAUUGUUUGGUGAUCUUCAUAUUCACUCCUUUCUUGAUCCAUCCAAUAGUGUAGGGAUUUGGAUGAUCAUGGGUUUCAAGCUUUAAAUGGUCCACCAACUUUUGGGAGAUAAGAUUCUCGCAGCUGCAACUAUCAAUCACUAGUUUGCAUACCUUGCCAUUCACCGUGCAUUUGCUCUCAAAUAUUUUCUUCCGUUGUGUGUCAUCGAGUUGUGGUGUGGAACAUAGGACAGCUGGAUCACACAUACCACCUCUUCACCUUCUUCUUGACAAACCUCUUGUCCGUCUACAUCUUCAGAUUCGUAUUCUUCCUCAUCGCUUUCACCAUCAUGGAUAGUCGUGUUAACAAAUUUCCUUAGUGGGCAGCCGCUGGAUAUGUGUCCCUCUUUACCACAUUUAUAGCACUUUGGACCUUCAUUUGCCUUACCCUUGCCUCUAGUUUGCUUCGGGAUGGGCUGUUUUGUCUUUGGUGGAGUGGUCUUUUCUUCCACUCUAUUAGGUUGGCUCCUAGAUGAGCCUUCGGUAUGAGGAUAUGGAGGAUAUGGAGCCUUAGUUGUCUUUCUCAUCCUCACAAACCUCUCGGCCUUUAAGGCUAGAUCUUGUGCUUGAUCAACGGACCAGAUUUGUUGCAUCAUCAAUCGAUCUUGAAUAGCAUCAUUGAGACCAUUGAUGUACCUUGCAACUUGUUGCUCUUCAGUUUCAGCAAGGUUGCACCUCACUUGUAGCCUUAGAAACUCCUCCGUGUAAUCUGAAACAGUUCUAUUUCCUUGAGCACAAUUUUGAAAUUGGAUAAAUAGGAUCUGGUCAUAAUCAGCGGGCAAAAAUCUCCCUUUCAAGAGGCCUUUCAUUUAUCGCCAAGUUCUAACACGAGGUUCUCCUCUGAGCCUGCGCUCCUCUUGAACGCGAUGCCACCAUGCACCGGCUCCUCCUUUCAGUUUGUAUGCGACCAAAGGAACUCUACGAUCUUCCGGAACCUCCAUGACCUCAAAGAAAGUCUCCACUUCAUAUAACCAAUCCAGGCACCCUUCAAUGUCAACAUUUCCAUUAAAAGUUGGGAUCUCAGCUUUCACCUUGUAUGUAUCUCUUGCAUAUGUAGGGUUGGGUACUCUCCGAUAUGCGUAGAGAUCUGCUUCUUCAAGGGCAUCAUCAUAUUCUUCACCUUCAGAAGCUUCAACAUAAAUUGGCCUUCUUGAAGCACGUUGAACAGCACGUUGUUGUGGCGGUCUUGCUCCAAGAUUACCUCUCCUUCUUUGUUGAACAUCUUUUUCUUUAGAUGAAUCUCCUUCAUUGGCAGCAGGGGGGACACCCUUUCUUAUCAUCUCAACCAGCUGACCAAAUCUCCGAUUAAGAUCUUCACGCAGCUCUUUGAUUUGUUGUUCUGCAGCAUCCAUCCUCUUCUCCAAUUGCUCCAUUGCUUGGUGCAACUUACUCUCGAAGAGGACAGCAAGAACUAGUAUGGGUCAACGAGGCUCUGAUACCACCUGAAGCAGCACAAAGUUUGUGGGGAGCAACUCCACCUUGCUGCUACAAUGUGUACAGCACAAGUGUUGAAGGAACAGCUUCAACGUGCUGCGCUAGAUAUCGCUCUAGAGGCGAAUGUAGGUUGAUAGGGCAGCAAGAGUUCAAUCCAGAACUCCUAGGGCACAAGAUCUACUCCAAGAUCUUAGAUAAGAACAACAAGUUCUAUUAUAGGUAGGGGUACAUAGUCUGCCUCCAAAGUAGAGGCGAGGACCUCUAUUUAUAGGGCUUUGGGAAGCCUUCACAUACUUCUACUUGUAGCUGGAAUACUCUAGAAAACAUUAUGUAAGUUUCACCAUUCUACUCAUAGCUACUCACAACUAGAAGACUCU